RNAcentral lists this ribosomal RNA (2918 nucleotides) under Pasteurella multocida. RNAcentral describes it as "23S ribosomal RNA". It matches the Rfam family "Bacterial large subunit ribosomal RNA". The record is from RNAcentral. Lineage: Bacteria; Pseudomonadati; Pseudomonadota; Gammaproteobacteria; Pasteurellales; Pasteurellaceae.
GUUGUAUGGUUAAGUGACUAAGCGUACAGGGCGGAUGCCUUGGCAAUCAGAGGCGAAGAAGGACGUGCUAAUCUGCGAAAAGCUUGGAUGAGUCGAUAAGAGGCGUUUAAUCCAAGAUGUCCGAAUGGGGAAACCCGAUGGAUGAAGAAUCCAUCAUUUCAUUGUGAAUACAUAGCAAUGAAAGGCGAACCGGGAGAACUGAAACAUCUAAGUACCCCGAGGAAAAGAAAUCAACCGAGAUUCUGUGAGUAGCGGCGAGCGAAAGCGGAAGAGCCAGUAAGUUUUAGCUAGUGUAUUAGAGGAAUUGGCUGGGAAGCCAAAUCAAAGAGGGUGAUAAUCCCGUACUCGAAAAUACGAUAGUGGAACUAAGCUUACGAUAAGUAGGGCGGGACACGAGAAAUCCUGUUUGAAGAUGGGGGGACCAUCCUCCAAGGCUAAAUACUCCUGAUUGACCGAUAGUGAACCAGUACUGUGAAGGAAAGGCGAAAAGAACCCCGGUGAGGGGAGUGAAAUAGAACCUGAAACCCUGUACGUACAAGCAGUAGGAGCCUGAAAGGGUGACUGCGUACCUUUUGUAUAAUGGGUCAGCGACUUAUAUUUUGUAGCGAGGUUAACUGAAUAAGGGAGCCGAAGGGAAACCGAGUCUUAACUGGGCGUUGAGUUGCAAGGUAUAGACCCGAAACCCGGUGAUCUAGCCAUGGGCAGGUUGAAGGUUGGGUAACACUAACUGGAGGACCGAACCGACUAAUGUUGAAAAAUUAGCGGAUGACUUGUGGCUGGGGGUGAAAGGCCAAUCAAACCGGGAGAUAGCUGGUUCUCCCCGAAAUCUAUUUAGGUAGAGCCUUGAGCGGACACCUUCGGGGGUAGAGCACUGUUUCGGCUAGGGGUCCAUCCCGGAUUACCAACCCGAUGCAAACUGCGAAUACCGAAGAGUGAUACUCAGGAGACACACGGCGGGUGCUAACGUUCGUCGUGGAGAGGGAAACAACCCAGACCGCCAGCUAAGGUCCCAAAGUCUAUAUUAAGUGGGAAACGAAGUGGGAAGGCUUAGACAGCUAGGAUGUUGGCUUAGAAGCAGCCAUCAUUUAAAGAAAGCGUAAUAGCUCACUAGUCGAGUCGGCCUGCGCGGAAGAUGUAACGGGGCUCAAAUAUAGCACCGAAGCUGCGGCAUCAGAAUUUAUUCUGUUGGGUAGGGGAGCGUUGUGUAAGCGGAAGAAGGUGGCUCGAGAGGGUUGCUGGACGUAUCACAAGUGCGAAUGCUGACAUAAGUAACGAUAAAACGAGUGAAAAACUCGUUCGCCGGAAGACCAAGGGUUCCUGUCCAACGUUAAUCGGGGCAGGGUGAGUCGGCCCCUAAGGCGAGGCUGAAAAGCGUAGUCGAUGGGAAACGGGUUAAUAUUCCCGUACUUGGUAAAGCUGCGAUGUGGGGACGGAGAAGGUUAGGUAAGCGGACUGUUGGAAAUGUCCGUUUAAGUUGGUAGUUGGGAGCGGUAGGCAAAUCCGCUGCUCCAUUCAACAACGAGAGAUGAUGACGAGGCUCUACGGAGCUGAAGUUACCGAUACCCGGCUUCCAGGAAAAGCCACUAAGCGAAAGGCUUUAUUAAACCGUACUGAAAACCGACACAGGUGGUCAGGUAGAGAAUACUCAGGCGCUUGAGAGAACUCGGGUGAAGGAACUAGGCAAAAUAGCACCGUAACUUCGGGAGAAGGUGCGCUUACAGUAAUUGUAGUCCCUUGCGGAUGAAGGUGAAGUAAGUCGAAGAUACCAGCUGGCUGCAACUGUUUAUUAAAAACACAGCACUCUGCAAACACGAAAGUGGACGUAUAGGGUGUGAUGCCUGCCCGGUGCUGGAAGGUUAAUUGAUGGUGUUAUCGAAAGAGAAGCUCCUGAUCGAAGCCCCAGUAAACGGCGGCCGUAACUAUAACGGUCCUAAGGUAGCGAAAUUCCUUGUCGGGUAAGUUCCGACCUGCACGAAUGGCAUAAUGAUGGCCAGGCUGUCUCCACCCGAGACUCAGUGAAAUUGAAAUCGCCGUGAAGAUGCGGUGUACCCGCGGCUAGACGGAAAGACCCCGUGAACCUUUACUAUAGCUUGACACUGAACAUUGAAUUUUGAUGUGUAGGAUAGGUGGGAGCCUUUGAAGCAGUGACGCCAGUCAUUGUGGAGGCGACCUUGAAAUACCACCCUUUAACGUUUGAUGUUCUAACGAAGUGCCUGAAACGGGUACUCGGACAGUGUCUGGUGGGUAGUUUGACUGGGGCGGUCUCCUCCCAAAGCGUAACGGAGGAGCACGAAGGUUUGCUAAUGACGGUCGGACAUCGUCAGGUUAGUGCAAUGGUAUAAGCAAGCUUAACUGCGAGACGGACAAGUCGAGCAGGUGCGAAAGCAGGUCAUAGUGAUCCGGUGGUUCUGAAUGGAAGGGCCAUCGCUCAACGGAUAAAAGGUACUCCGGGGAUAACAGGCUGAUACCGCCCAAGAGUUCAUAUCGACGGCGGUGUUUGGCACCUCGAUGUCGGCUCAUCACAUCCUGGGGCUGAAGUAGGUCCCAAGGGUAUGGCUGUUCGCCAUUUAAAGUGGUACGCGAGCUGGGUUUAGAACGUCGUGAGACAGUUCGGUCCCUAUCUGCCGUGGGCGUUGGAUGAUUGAUUGGGGCUGCUCCUAGUACGAGAGGACCGGAGUGGACGCAUCACUGGUGUUCCAGUUGUCUCGCCAGAGGCAUUGCUGGGUAGCUAAAUGCGGAAGAGAUAAGUGCUGAAAGCAUCUAAGCACGAAACUUGCCAAGAGAUGAGUCAUCCCUGACUUUAAGUCAGUAAGGGUUGUUUAAGACUAAGACGUAGAUAGGUUGGGUGUGUAAGUGUAGUGAUACAUUGAGCUAACCAAUACUAAUUGCCCGAGAGGCUUAACCAUACAACGCUCAAG